RNAcentral lists this ribosomal RNA (253 nucleotides) under uncultured bacterium. RNAcentral's name for it is "partial 16S ribosomal RNA". It matches the Rfam family "Bacterial small subunit ribosomal RNA", at positions 524 to 776 of the family's 1533-position model. The record is from RNAcentral.
UACGUAGGGUGCAAGCGUUGUCCGGAAUUAUUGGGCGUAAAGAGCUCGUAGGCGGUUUGUUGCGUCGGCUGUGAAAACCUGAGGCUCAACCUCAGGCCUGCAGUCGAUACGAGCAGACUAGAGUGUUGCAGGGGAGACUGGAAUUCCUGGUGUAGCGGUGAAAUGCGCAGAUAUCAGGAGGAAUACCGGUGGCGAAGGCGGCAUCCUGGACCGGCAUUGACGCUGAUGAGCGAAAGCUAGGGGAGCAAACGGG